CCAAAUGGAGGUGUGGGAAAGUACAGUCUGCACAUUAAGAGUAGGCAUUGUAAUGAAUAUUUUUUUGUGAAUUCAAAUGCCAAAUGGAGGUGUGGGAAAGGACAGUUUGCACUUUAAGAGUAUGCAUUAUGGCAUCCUAAGUUACUAAAAUUUGAUUAAUAACUAAUGACCAAGAUGAAUCACAAAGUUGACUAAUAGAGG
This 201-nucleotide long non-coding RNA is filed under the name Elaeis guineensis (African oil palm). Its description in RNAcentral is "long non-coding RNA (EGUI_LNC000816)". The record is from RNAcentral. Lineage: Eukaryota; Viridiplantae; Streptophyta; Magnoliopsida; Arecales; Arecaceae.